CGUGCGAUACACAUGCACAGGCACACAGCACGUGCUUUAGGUGCCCAGCACGGUCUGUAUUCACACCUGCCACACGGACAGCGCACGCCUGUGAACGCACACACGCGCACCGCGGUCGAGUCGCCUAGCAACCCAAGGCUGUAUACACCACAGGCCUGUGAAUGGCAUUGGGAUGGGGGAAGGGAAGCAGGUGUGCCGGUCCUCAAAGGGCCACAAGAUCAAAUAUUUAACCAAGUAGAGAGGAGAAGAAAAGGAAACCAAGGGAAAAGGGCAGGGGCGCAAGGAUGUGCCCUCCUCCACUCCGCGGAUGCAAACCCCACGGCUCCUUUGCAAGCAGAAACUGUGAUCCACUGACCGCGGCUGCGGACGUCCAGCCCCUGAGUCUGAGCAGGUGCCUCCGGGGAGGCUUUGAAGGACAGAACCUCCACCGCCACCCCUUUUUUCCUCCCUGCCUGGCGAUGAAUGAGUGGCCUCUUUCUUUGAAACUCACACACUUUGGGCCUCAGAGCGGCUCUUUGAAAUGCUGAUGGCAGAGAAAAGGCAGGGGAGACUGAGGGAGCUUAGUUCUGCUGGUGGGAAAGAGGAGCUCAGAGAAUGGGCCGACCUGAGCUAGAAAGAGCAAGGUUUUCUCUCUCAACAGGCACCUUCAUUUUGCGCUCAAGUGAUCCCACCAUGAGCAGACUGAAAAAGUGUUUUUGUUUUUUCUAACUGAUUCUUUUAUGUAGGAAGAAUCCCAGCCAAAUGGGACUGUCUACUCCUGUCUUUUCUGCCUCCGGUAAAAGUGAAUGGGAGUAGGGAAGAAAGUUACCCUCCCUGGAAGGUUUUUCUUCUCUCCUAUUUAUCUCUAGGGUAGAAAAUUCCAGAAAGCAUCUCCAGGCUCUCAGCAGUGAUAUUCUGGUUCCACUUCUUCACUGCUCCCCAGGUCUCUUCUGACAUUGCCAAGCUGCCUGCUGAGCUGUCAUAAAAUGUUCUGAAGCCUUGCAAAAGGAACAGGCAAAAAAAAAAAAAAAAAUCUCUUAGCCUGCUUAAAUUAGUCAUUGUCUCUAGCAGGGGUAUUCAUUCCCUCUCACUUUUCUCGUCUGGCUUCUUUUUCUUCUUCUCCUUCUUUUAUUUUUCCUCCCUGCAGUUAUUCUGAUGUGAGUUCAGUAUAUACAUCCACCCCAGAAAGGCCCCGGAUGCCAAGAAAGAUCCCACCAACUCACCCUCUUAUCAUGCUCCUCCUGAGGUGGAGGCUUGCUGUUCUCUGGCAGGCUGCAGAACGCCUAGUCUCACACCCGUCUGUCUCCUGCUGGGUUUCUGCACAGCACAAUAAUAAGGUGUUCCAACUGACACAGAAUAGAGUCACAAUGCCCUCAGCCAUCAACACCGGUGGGCGGACUCAGUGACCAUCUCAGGGUCUGCCCUGAGCUCAAAGAAUGGGCCUAAAGUCCAUUCAUUUUGUGAACACUCAUUUAUUGAGCAAGGCUUCCUCGAAUUGCGGGCCCGGAUGAGGCAUACGGUCCAGGGGCAAACGGUGACAAUACCCGUUUCACUCUCAAGGUCGUUUCUGCUUGCAGGUUCGUGUCCCAGCCAUUCCACUGCAACGAGACUAAACCAGGCAGACGCCACGAUGCAAAGAGCAGGGUCCUCGCCUUGGAGGAACUCAGCCUCCUGAAAGGCAGGCAAACAGACAGUUAAAAUAAGACACGAGAGCUAGGACAAAGGAAUGCACAGAGCCAUGUGCCUGUGUCCCUGUGUCCAACACGGUACCUAGAACAGUGAGCUCUGAGACACCUCUUGUUGCUGUUUUGUUUCAAGCAGUGACAGCGUUCUGUAGAUAGCACGUUCCCCACAGUGAUCUACUCUUUCUUCCUCUUCUCAUCUUCUUUCCUUGCUGCCUCCCCCUCUUCCAAGAGUCCGGAAUCUCCUGGACACAUAUACUCAGGGAGAUGGUCAAGGGAGUGGGUGAUAAUCAAAGGUAACGAACAUACGUUCCCCUGUGUCCCUCCUCAACCCCUGCGGCAAAAUCACAGAGACCGAUGUUGCCACCCGUCCCCCACACAUUUUCUUUUUCUACUAGAUACUGGAUGUUUGCGGGAAAGCUCUUUUGGCUGGGUCUAAUCGGUUUCCUGCUGCGUCCCUGUGUGCCAAGGUCCAGCCCCUCCUGAUGGCGCCAAUUCAGAGCCCUUUCCCCACCAUUUCUGCUCCUGUGGGUCUGGCUGUGCUAACAUAAGCAGGUCUUGCUACCAAGUGCUCAGGACCAAUCCUGCUGGUUUAUCCCAACAAGGUCAACCUGGUGACCUAAUGGUCCCCGUUACCCCCAGGGAAGGUUGAUUGCUGCAGAUAUCACUGAGUAUGGCCUCGCCCUUCGGUGGUCACUCUUGGGGCCCUUGCUGAGGUGAGGCGGCAGGUUCUCCCCCACCUCAUCUUCUGCUCUUAUUCUCUGAAGAUCGUGAUUUCACCCACCGUUUUCUUCUAAGAGUCUUUUUUUCCAGCCUUCUCACAUAUGACUCCCACAAAUGAAUCACACAAGCUGGGAGUUUCCAUGUGAGUAAAAAUGCAGCUUCCAUCCACAAAUGUUCAGUGUUCCUGGGCUUAUUGUGUAUGUUUGAUUUCUGUCAACGUUUUAAUUAAAAUGUCACCACAAAUUUAAGGGAGAAAGAAAGGGCAAGGGAGAGGCCAGGAUGACAGAGGUGUGCUAGGACGAAUCAAGCUCCAUAAGCAGUUUCUCCAUUUCCUUGUCCUCCAAGUGCUCUGAAUUUCUGACAUUUCUGUAUUUUUAGUAGCUUCCAGUCCUGAAGUUUAUGGGUUGAAAAGCGUGAGGCAUUGCCUCGCCAAGUGGCAAGGAUAUAAAAACAAGCGAUAAACAGAAAAGUUAACUGAACAAGCGCAUUGCGUCGAGAUGAAAGCUGAGAUGACAGGAGGGUCUCUGAGAACCCGGGGUACAGGGCCACGCCGAAUGGGGAUGGAAGCAGGAAAAAACGCAGAACAUAAUCAUCGCUCUUAGUUCUUCCGUGCUGGUCCCCUGAGACAUCUUGUCUCCCGAGAUUGUGACUUCUUCUGGGGGAAGGCCAAUGUUUGAUUUUUCUGCUGCAUUUGCCCACGUUUCAUAGCAAGGUACUUAGCACUCUGUGAGAGGAAAUGGGAUCAUCUAGAAAGGUCCAAAACCGGCAGACUCCUGUCCCCAAAUCUGCAGGUAAAUCUCCAUGUGACCUUGAAGAAUCACUUACCUCCCAUUUUCUUCAGCUGUAAAAUAAGUAUGGCCGGAUAAUCACCAAGCUGCAGACUGGCUUUAAAACUUUGUGAGUCCAUAAUCGUGACUUUUGAAUCAAGUUAGGGGAGAAACUCUGGGGCUCGAUGAUGUGUAUGUAGAAGUUGUUUCAAAGCGUGGACUUGGAUCUCAGUUUCUCUCGUGCAAAUCAAGGACAUUAGAAUAGAUGAUAGUCUUCAUUCUAUUUCUCUCUAAAAGGCAAGAAGUAUCUGAAUCAAAUGCUGAGCCUUCAUCCUCAAAGAUCAAGCCCCAAAUGGCUCUUCAUCGGGCCUCAGUAGAAAGAAGAGGAAUAGACCUUAUCCACAUAUAAUUCACUGGCCCAUUGAUAAGAACCUGUAUUUUCCAUGGGUUCAUUUUUAUCUUAGCCAUAAAAUCUCAAUCCUGUUUCAAACAUGAUAUUUUCCCUUUCAAUAUAAGAAGCAAUUUAUUUUAUUGUUACUUGAAACUAAAGAAUCCAAUAAACUGGUUUGGAGCCAAAGAAGACCAUAAUGACAAAAUGAUUGAUCUUUUUAUAACGCAUCGCACCGCUAUCCUCAAAUUGGAGAAACGCAAUAUAGAAGAUAUUCAUUUAUACCACCGGCUGGUAUUUAUUUCUGUAAUAGAAUGCAACACUCCUUUGUAUUUAUUAAGGAUCUGUCACCACUAGAAAUACAAAGUAAAAGGGCUUCACUGUGAAUUCUCAGGCACGGUCAACUAUCGGUUGUUAUGCGCCACUGACGUCAAAGAUCCAUAUGGGAGCUUAAGGCAGAAAUAUCAGAAGUAUUGCAUAGUGUGAAAAAUAUAAGUGCUGCAUCCAGGAUCCAUUGGUAGCAGUGGAAGGUAAGUACACAGAUGCUAUUCAACAGGACAAAGGAAAACAUGUUUUCAACCGCUGGAGCCGUUCGACAAUGGAGCUGACAAAAGGGUAUUAACACGAGAAGUCCUGCUCUGGGCUGGAUGCAUUGCCUACCACCUUCCUACACCCUCAGAGUACCCUCUGAGACACAUCUUAUUACUUCAUCACACAAAUGAAAAGGCAGGGGGUUCAAGAAAGGUAAACUAUUGUCAUUGGGCCAUUGAGCAGUUACAUGUUUGAACCAAGACUUGAAAUGCAUUUUGGCUGAUUCCAAAGCCCAUGUGUAUCACUGUAUCACAGUGCAUGUUCAUGAAGUAUGUUCUCAUACUAAAUUUAUGUUCUCAUGACUUGUCUCAUGGCCAAAGAAAGGCCAGCUGGUAACAACAUAUUGAAUAGUGACUAUUUGCUGAGUUCUUAAUGUCUGCCAUAUUUUGUCAAGAAUAGUCUUGGAUGAAGUUGUACUUGAACUACAUGAGGUCUUAGGGAACGCAUCCCUCCUCAGUACCCUAUACUAACCCAAUGGGGUAGAUGUAACCGUUGAGAAUUGUCACAAGGUUUUAUGAAUCCUGCGGGUGGAGAGCUUAUCAUGGAAGACUGCCUGACUUGCUAGUCCUUAUACCAAAAGUUGUCCACUCUUCCAAACCUCCACUGAGAUUCAGUAAGAUUCUGUGAUUCUUAAACUCCUCCCCGCCACCUACACAGCCAAUGAGAGGGAAACUUGUCUGAUUUUUCCCACAAGUGCUCAUGCGUUUCUGGAAUCUUUGCAGUGAGAGAGGACUCACCACUUCUCCAAAACUGCCUACUAAAUUUUGAACAGUGGUGACCCAUUCCAACUUUUUACAGCUCUAACUCCCAGAAAAUGUUUCCACAGACAUCAAUUGUCUCUUUUAUAGCUUCCACGUUUUGGUUCUCUUUGUCAUUUUGAGUCAAACAGAACAAAUUCACACAAGCCUGUAAUGUAACCCCUUGGUGUGUGACAGUGAAGAUGGUGACAGUGUCACCAGGAGUCACAAGUCCACUCUUAGUUCUGCUUCUCACUUGGGCUUUGAGCACUUGGUCGAGGUUGGGUUAUUUCACCUCCCAAACCCUCCACUAUACAGUUCACGCUCCCCUCUGAAAAACGAGUAACUUGUAUGUGAUGAGUUUCUAAAACUUCCUGCACCUUGGAUUCUAAGUGAUUUUCUGAGCCCUCAGAAUAAACACUGAUAGUUAUUCUAUGUCCUUCUCGAACUGGUCUCCCAGAAUUUCACUGGGGGACUUUCCAUGGGUGAAGGAGUUCAGUGCUGGUAUAUUUUUCCCGUAUAACCCGAAGAUCUUUCUAGAAACGCCUUCCCGUUUGGUUCUCACCUCAAGGAUCUGAGACAAUGAAAUCUCCUCUCCUCCCACAAAGAUACAGCAUUUAGAAAUGUGCUAAACCCUAAAUACAUAUUAUCACCAUUACAUCACCAUCGCAAUCAACUGUAUCACAUCACAGCCACCAGCCUGGGUCUGCAACUUUCACAAAUAGUUGCAAAUUCUUAUCAGAGUCCCUUGCAAAGAUUGAUCCUUCCGUGAGCUUUACAUUGAAAAAUACUCUGCUUACUACACAAAAUGCAAAAAUAUGCAUUUUAGAUAAUAAUACUUAAUUUCUGGAUUACUAUUUGUAUUAAUCAAUGGCCCAUGUCACUGCUCCUUGGAAAUUCUGAUCUGCCCGAAGGAUGUACACACCUGGAAACUGCUACAAUUUCAACCACAAGCUGAGGCAACCAUUCAUUAUGUGCAAUGACCAUUUUUUUACUUUGGCGUUGGCUCAUGUCUGAUUUCUGUGCACUUUUUGAUGCAUUUAAUGCUUAGCAAGCCUUCACGUGUUCCUUUGCAGAUGGUCCAGGAACUGAGGACCCCAGAUGGGGAGCUUCUGCGCAAAGCCCUCCAUACCCCACUUUGAGUUCCAACCUUAUACUAACUUUGUCUUAUGAAGGCUUGGACUUAAACCACUAAAGCAAAUCACAGGCGGGUGUGGAAGAGAGUGGGGAGGGGUCACUGGAUGAGGCAAGAACUCGUCGUUGAUAGAGACCAAGAAAGACAAAACGCUCAGUGUAAUUUUUGCCCCAUGGAGGGAAUCACUCUUGGAUACUAAAUCAAGCAGAGACUGCACGUUUCCCGAUUGCCCACAAAAGUCGAAAGUUGGUUUGCUCCCAAGAAACACCAAUGUGGAUGAGGCUCCAGUUUGCAAAGGGAACUGGUUUGUCCCUGUCCUGUACUGACUGACCUCUGGAGAUAGUUGCAGGAGCCUGAUUCUCCUCAUUCGAGAUGUGACUCCGUGAGGCUCAGCCUGGUCUUCUCAGAAGCCAAACUCAGGUGCCGCACUGCCCAGAGAAACUUGCUCCUUAAAACUGUUGACUGCUUCUACUUUUCUUGCCAUUCAUGGUUAUUUGAAACAGAAUUCAGCCUCCAUUCACAACUGUGCUGAUUUCCUUGAAAUUUGCUUUUCUUCUGUGUGAUGAAAGACAUUAUGAUUUUUUUUCUUCCCAUCAAUUUUCCGAUGGCUGGGAUACCCCUGGGACUUGUUUUGGUAAAUAUGCCUCAGACGAAUUGAUAAGGAAGCAUCCAAUUUUGAUCGAUGAGAAGCGGAGAAUCGCACUUUGAAUUUUACUGUAUCUUCCUAUGGCGGAUAUCCAAUAAUUUAAGAUAACCACCACCUCCUUUUUCUGGUAACAAGAAUCAGUCUGUGGAGUCAGGCCAACCCCAAUCCUCCCCCAAUAGGAAAGGAGUUCUUUCCUCUCAGGUGGUGAAGGCAGGGGACAUUUUCAGAAACUUCUGGAAGUUGGGGGUCCAGCUUUACAGAGAAAGUUUGCAAGAGGAAGGACUGAAGCUAGAUGAGAGAGAAGCAAAGAGAAGCAGAUUCUGGGAGAAAUGUGCAUGAUCAUUUUUCAUCUCACUCAUUCUACGGACAUCCAUGAAGCACCUGUGACCUGCAAAAGUGGUGAGCAAAUCAGAUUAAGGAUUCACGGUGACAAUAUGAAACUUCUGCUAGAAGCAGCAUCUUUUGAACAGCCAGCCAGAGUGGGGGAACAGCCACUUCUGAAGAGCCGGAAGGGAAAUCUCACCUGUGAGCCAGCUCCUGACAGGCUGCUCGGUCUGAAAGCAGCACAGAAUUGCACUGUCAACUUGCACAGAAGGAGCCCUGAAUACUAGGAACCAAAUGCCUGGGGGCCCCCCCUUGACCUGCGUCCCUGGGGUUGAUUCUGACUGCUUCCACCUUGAGUCCUAAGAGUGUAUUUCCCCCUCGAAGAGGGAGGCUGGCCUACCAGCAGAGCAGGGCCCGAGGGAUACAGCUGGAGGAAAUGCCUGCAGUGGCUCAGAACGAGAAAGCCAGGACUUCGGAAAAUCUUCAUAACCAACACAUUUUCAAACAGGGAAGCUUCACGCACAUCGAGCUCAAGUUAUUUGAAGGAAAAAAAAAAAAAGUGCUGAUACCGAGCCACUUAAGCAAUACUUGACGGCCCCAUGCUUGAUUGAAAAAUAAAAUAUGGUGUCUCCCGUGG
This is a long non-coding RNA of Felis catus (domestic cat), 7609 nucleotides long. RefSeq lists it as uncharacterized. The record is from RefSeq and is a predicted model, not a curated record. The transcript has 4 exons. NCBI's taxonomy places the organism in Eukaryota, Metazoa, Chordata, Mammalia, Carnivora, Felidae.